AGGAAGCAUUUAUUAGAUAAAAAGCCAAUGCAUGCUUUUACAGUAUGAAAAUUGGUGAUUUAUAAUAACUUAGCAAAUCGUAAAGUGAAAACAGACGAUAAAUCAUUCAAGUUUCUGACCUAUCAGCUUUCGACGGUAUGGUAUUGGCUUACCGUGGCAGUGACGGUUAACGGGGGAUUAGGGUUCGAUUCCGGAGAGGGAGCCUGAGAAACGGCUACCACAUCUAAGGAAGGCAGCAGGCGCGCAAAUUACCCAAUUCUAACAGUUUGAGAGAGGUAGUAACAAGAAAUAACAAUACAAGGCAGUUAAAAUGCUUUGUAAUUGGAAUGAUAGAAAUUUAAACCCUUUUUAAAGUAUCAAUUGGAGGGCAAGUCUGGUGCCAGCAGCCGCGGUAAUUCCAGCUCCAAUAGCGUAUAUUAAAAUUGUUGCAGUUAAAAAGCUCGUAGUUGAAGUUCUGCUAAAAGUAACCGGUCUGCUUUUAAUAAAAGUGGUAUCUUGGUAUGUAUUUAGCAAUGAUGUCCUUUGAAGUGUUUUUUACUUUAUUGUAAUAAAGCAUAUUCAGGACUUUUACUUUGAGAAAAUUAGAGUGUUUCUAGCAGGCCGACGCUUUGAAUACUGCAGCAUGGAAUAAAUAAGA
RNAcentral lists this ribosomal RNA (637 nucleotides) under Hepatozoon canis. RNAcentral describes it as "bacterial SSU rRNA". It matches the Rfam family "Eukaryotic small subunit ribosomal RNA", at positions 198 to 823 of the family's 1831-position model. Lineage: Eukaryota; Apicomplexa; Hepatozoidae. The record is from RNAcentral.